Molecule: ribosomal RNA, 880 nt
Filed under: uncultured bacterium
Lineage: Bacteria
Description: bacterial SSU rRNA
Rfam family: Bacterial small subunit ribosomal RNA
Source: RNAcentral
GUUUGAUCAUGGCUCAGAUUGAACGCUGGCGGCAUGCCUUACACAUGCAAGUCGAACGGCAGCACGGGGGCAACCCUGGUGGCGAGUGGCGAACGGGUGAGUAAUGCAUCGGAACGUGUCCUCUUGUGGGGGAUAACCAGUCGAAAGAUUGGCUAAUACCGCAUGAGAUCGAAAGAUGAAAGCGGGGGACCGCAAGGCCUCGCGCGAGAGGAGCGGCCGAUGCCCGAUUAGCUUGUUGGUGAGGUAAAAGCUCACCAAGGCGACGAUCGGUAGCUGGUCUGAGAGGACGACCAGCCACACUGGGACUGAGACACGGCCCAGACUCCUACGGGAGGCAGCAGUGGGGAAUUUUGGACAAUGGGCGCAAGCCUGAUCCAGCCAUGCCGCGUGUGUGAAGAAGGCCUUCGGGUUGUAAAGCACUUUCGGACGGAACGAAAUCGCGCGGAUGAAUAUUCCGCGUGGAUGACGGUACCGUAAGAAGAAGCACCGGCUAACUACGUGCCAGCAGCCGCGGUAAUACGUAGGGUGCGAGCGUUAAUCGGAAUUACUGGGCGUAAAGGGUGCGCAGGCGGCCCCGCAAGUCAGGCGUGAAAUCCCCGGGCUCAACUUGGGAAUGGCGCUUGAAACUACGAGGCUGGAGUGUGGCAGAGGGAGGUGGAAUUCCACGUGUAGCGGUGAAAUGCGUAGAGAUGUGGAGGAACACCGAUGGCGAAGGCAGCCUCCUGGGCCAACACUGACGCUCAUGCACGAAAGCGUGGGGGAGCAAACAGGAUUAGAUACCCUGGUAGUCCACGCCCUAAACGAUGACGACUAGUUGUUGGGGGAGUUAAAUCCCUUAGUAACGCAGCUAACGCGAGAAGUCGUCCGCCUGGGGAGUACG